This 253-nucleotide ribosomal RNA is filed under the name uncultured bacterium. RNAcentral's name for it is "partial 16S ribosomal RNA". It matches the Rfam family "Bacterial small subunit ribosomal RNA", at positions 524 to 776 of the family's 1533-position model. The record is from RNAcentral.
GACGUAGGGCGCGAGCGUUGUCCGGAUUUAUUGGGCGUAAAGAGCUCGUAGGCGGCUUGUCGCGUCGUCCGUGAAAACUUGGGGCUCAACCCCAAGCUUGCGGUCGAUACGGGCAGGCUAGAGUUCGGUAGGGGAGACUGGAAUUCCUGGUGUAGCGGUGAAAUGCGCAGAUAUCAGGAGGAACACCGGUGGCGAAGGCGGGUCUCUGGGCCGAUACUGACGCUGAGGAGCGAAAGCGUGGGGAGCGAACCGG